This 452-nucleotide ribosomal RNA is filed under the name uncultured bacterium. RNAcentral describes it as "bacterial SSU rRNA". It matches the Rfam family "Bacterial small subunit ribosomal RNA", at positions 329 to 793 of the family's 1533-position model. The record is from RNAcentral.
GUCCAGACUCCUACGGGAGGCAGCCGUGGGGAAUAUUGGGCAAUGGAGGCACCUCUGACCCAGCACCUCCUCGUGAGUGCUGCAGGUAUUCGGAUUGUCCAACUCUUUAAUUUUGGACGAAGCCCGUGACUGUACCCCCUUCAUAAGCCUCUGCUCACUACGUUCCCGCCGCCGCGGUCCUCCGUAGGAGGCCCUCGUUAUCCGGACUGACUGGGCGUAAAGGGUGCGUAGGUGGUGUGGCAAGUUAGUAGAGUAAUUCCGGGGGGCAACUUCGGAACUACUACUAAAACUGCUGGGCUUGAGUGCAGGAGGGGCAGAUGGAAUUCCUAGUGUAGCGGUGGAAUGCGUAGAUAGGAGGAGGAACACCAGUGGCGAAGGCGAUAUGCUGGACAGAAACUGACACUGAGGCUCGAAAGCGUGGGGAGCAAACAGGAUUAGAUACCCGAGUACAG